RNAcentral lists this ribosomal RNA (1240 nucleotides) under metagenome. Its description in RNAcentral is "bacterial LSU rRNA". It matches the Rfam family "Bacterial large subunit ribosomal RNA", at positions 1564 to 2815 of the family's 2925-position model. The record is from RNAcentral.
UGUAUACGAGACGCUAAGGCGUCGAAGUAGUGUAUGUCAUACUUCCAAGAAAAGCUUGCACUGUCAUAAAUAAAGAAUGCCUGUACCAUAACCGACACAGGUGGGUAGGUAGAGUAUACUAAGGGGCGCGAGAUAACUCUCUCUAAGGAACUCGGCAAAAUAACUCCGUAACUUCGGGAGAAGGAGUGCCUUAUUUAUAAGGUUGCAAUAACAAGAUCCAAGCAACUGUUUAUCAAAAACACAGGUCUCCGCUAAGUCGCAAGACGAUGUAUGGGGGCUGACGCCUGCCCAGUGCCAGAAGGUUAAAGAAGUUGGUUAGCACUUGCGAAGCUGAUAACUGAAGCCCUGGUGAACGGCGGCCGUAACCAUAACGGUCCUAAGGUAGCGAAAUUCCUUGUCGGGUAAGUUCCGACCCGCACGAAAGGCGUAAUGAUUUGGAUACUGUCUCGGAGAGGGGCUCGGUGAAAUAGACUUGUCUGUGAAGAUGCGGACUACCUGCACCAGGACAGAAAGACCCUAUGAAGCUUUACUGUAACUUGAAAUUGAAAUUGGACUUUAUUCGCGCAGUAUAGGUGGGAGGCGUUGAUUGUAAUCUUGCGGGAUUAUUGGAGCCAUCAGUGAGAUACCACUCUUGUAAUGUUAGAUUUCUAACUUUGUAUCAUUAUCUGGUCAAAGAACAGUUUCAGGCGGCAGUUUGACUGGGGCGGUCGCCUCCUAAACGGUAACGGAGGCGUACAAAGGUUUCCUCUGAACGGUUAGAAAUCGUAUCUAGAGUGUAAAGGCAUAAGGAAGCUUGACUGUGAGACCUACAAGUCGAGCAGGGACGAAAGUCGGUCUUAGUGAUCUGACGGUACUGAGUGGAAAGGCCGUCACUCAACGGAUAAAAGUUACCCUAGGAUAACAGGCUGAUCUCCCCCAAGAGUUCACAUCGACGGGGAGGUUUGGCACCUCGAUGUCGGCUCAUCGCAUCCUGGGGCGGUAGUACGUCCCAAGGGUUGGGCUGUUCGCCCAUGAAAGCGGUACGCGAGCUGGGUUCAGAACGUCGUGAGACAGUUCGGUCCAUAUCCGGUGUAGGCGUUAGAAUAUUGAGAGGAGCCUUCUUUAGUACGAGAGGACCGAGAAGGACAUACCUCUGGUGUACCAGUUAUCGUGCCAACGGUAAACGCUGGGUAGCUAUGUAUGGAGUGGAUAACCGCUGAAAGCAUCUAAGUGGGAAGCCCACCUCAAGAUAAGUAUUCUC